RNAcentral lists this ribosomal RNA (320 nucleotides) under uncultured eukaryote. RNAcentral's name for it is "partial 18S ribosomal RNA". It matches the Rfam family "Eukaryotic small subunit ribosomal RNA", at positions 1470 to 1796 of the family's 1831-position model. The record is from RNAcentral.
CCCCUAGAUGUUCUGGGCCGCACGCGCGCUACACUGAACAGUUCAACAAGUCUUAACCUUGGCCGAUAGGUCUGGGUAAUCUUUGAACGCUGUUCGUGAUUGGGAUAGACCUUUGCAAUUAUGGGUCUUCAACGAGGAAUUCCUAGUAAACGCAAGUCAUCAGCUUGCAUUGAUUACGUCCCUGCCCUUUGUACACACCGCCCGUCGCACCUACCGAUUGAAUGGUCCGGUGAAAUCUCGGGACGGCGGCUUGGUCGCUUGCGUCCGACUGCUGAAACUUGAUUAAACCAUAUCAUUUAGAGGAAGGUGAAGUCGUAAUA